Molecule: unclassified non-coding RNA, 139 nt
Filed under: fungal sp.
Lineage: Eukaryota; Fungi
Description: partial internal transcribed spacer region
Rfam family: Eukaryotic small subunit ribosomal RNA (bases 1-46)
Source: RNAcentral
AAGUCGUAACAAGGUUUCCGUAGGUGAACCUGCGGAAGGAUCAUUAUUGAAUACACACUCUUAUACUGUGAACCAACACUCUUGAAUGACUGAAAACACACAACAAACACAACUUUUAACAGUGGAUCUCUUGGCUCCU